Molecule: long non-coding RNA, 1206 nt
Organism: Aethalodelphis obliquidens (Pacific white-sided dolphin)
Lineage: Eukaryota; Metazoa; Chordata; Mammalia; Artiodactyla; Delphinidae
Exons: 2
Source: RefSeq, a predicted model, not a curated record
CUUCCCUGAACAUUUGAGGCAACACCUCCCAGUGGGAUCUGUGGUAGCCUGGGCACUGGGGACAGGCCUGGGCCCAGAGCCUCAGCUGGGGAAACAGGUUUGACGAGGCCCUCGCUGCCUCACUUCCGAUAGCAAACAAGCCAUGCCUGGGAGGACACGACCCAGCCUCACCAGCCAAUGGAUCUCCUGCCUUUUCUCCUCUGGUGAGAAUCAGGGCACCAGCGACUAUUCACUGACCGCCGUUGGGUGUGUGGCUUGGUGAGGAAAAUAGAGCUGGGACAUUGACUCCGUCUUCAGGGACUAUGCAGCCUCGUUGGGAGAGAGGAUAUAGAACGGGUGGUCAGAGACGGGCCUUUACAGAGGAGACAGGGCCACAGCUAGACCUCGAAGGAUGGGGGAGUAUCAGCUGGUGAGAAGAAUAAGGCGAUGCAGUAGGACGGCACGGAAAGACACAGAGGUCAGAGGACUGAAGGUGGACCCAGUGAAGGAAAAGAAGACACUCUGGCCAGAGCAGAGACUCUCUAUGCGUGAACAUUGAGAGAAAAUGCUGUAAAGAGUCAUCCUGAAAGAGCUGGCACUGUCUCUGAGGUUCUUGGGCAGUUCUGCACUUCGUGUGAUCACCACAUACAAUGGGCAAAACAGGUCCCGUGAGGGUAAAGCAAAUAAGUCCUCCCUGGCAAUUCACACUCGUGUCACUGCAGAGCUCACAGCACUGGCACCGGCUCCAACAAGAAAACCCACAUGCUUGUCAGUGACAUCCUGGACCCUCCCAUUUGGGCUGUGGCACCAGCAUAACCGAAUCAUAUUUGGCGAAGGAAAGAUCCCGUCUGGCUUUGUGCUAAUGACACUGAAGAAAAAGUCAGUACUCUUUGGGGGACUGAAUUCCUAACUGACUUCCAAGUUCUGAGUUCAGAACUAGGUUUGCCCUUUCUUGACAAAGCUCCCCCAGGAUUAAAGGGAGCUGAUGUAUCUUUGUCAUCAAACACAUCAUGACAAAUUAGUCUUUCACUAAUUCAUCCCAAAAUGCAUUGAGCAACUGCUUUGUCCAUUAAAGGUGUGUGAACCGAUGGAUGGAUGGACAGAAUGGAUGGAUGGUGGAUGAGUUCACUCACCAGCUGGGCAUGUGAGACAGGGUUUUCUCUCUCACAAGUGACAAAAACUUAAAUUUAAGUAGCUUAAGAGAGAAUAAAAAAAGAAACGCAUUGA